Molecule: RNA transcript, 6170 nt
Organism: Triticum aestivum (bread wheat)
Lineage: Eukaryota; Viridiplantae; Streptophyta; Magnoliopsida; Poales; Poaceae
Exons: 5
Source: RefSeq, a predicted model, not a curated record
CGUUCAGUGUGUGCCAGCGAGCCCAUCCAUAGAUUCAUCUCUCCUCCCUGCGUUAGGGUUCCACUCCCAUUCCUCCUCCGGCCGCCACCUCCGCAUCGACCUCCUCGGUUGCCAUGGUGAUGGAUGACCACCAACUCCGGCUACUCCAGAUCCCUCCGCCUAUCCACCCCGAGGAUCCGGAUUCUCCUCUCCCGGAGACCAUCCUCAUCGACUCCUUCGGCUACCUCAGCGACCGCACCAACGCCACCACCGCCCGUGGCCGCAGGAGCAGGACCAAGAAGAAGGGCAAGCGCAUCCUGGUCACCUUCUGGCCGGCUGCCCCGCCGCGCGUCUCCUGCUUCACCGUCCACUGCCCAGAUCUGAAGCCCGAUGCAUUCGCUGACAUGCCCAAGAUCUCCUAUACGGAGGAUGGCCUCGUCCUGCUCCGCAUCACCAUCUGCCCCGAGCGCCAGCACGUGUACACCAAGAACAUUCGCUACUUCGUCUACCAGGCCGGCACCAAGAAGACGCCGCCGUCGGUCAAGCUCGUCCACUGUCCCCCCUACUUCAGGAUCUACGACCAAGAGGUUGCCUUACUGCACUGCCACGACCAAGAGAUGUUCUUCAUCGCCGUGCUCCGCAGGGCCUUCAUUGAGCGGGAGUACACCGACGGGCACUUUAAUCUCCACCUGUACAACUCCAAGACAAAGGCAUGGAGCACCAAGUUGAUGCUUCUUGAUUCGCCCAAGGAUUUUGAGUUCCAGUCUCCCAACAAGGGGAUCACCAUUGGAGGGGAGCUUGGUUCAGUGGGUUGGGUCGACCUCGGGCGGGGCAUUAUCAUCUGUGACCUUCUCCUCCUUGACAGCAACCAGAGUCUUCGCUACAUCCCGCUACCUUCGCCGCUGUCGCCCGAUCCGCUCAUUGGUUAUCCGUUGUAUGUUCAGAACAUCACUGUUCUCCAAGGUUACAUCAAGUAUUUUGAGAUGCACAAUAACGUCAGACCGGGCUCAGACACUGGAAGCUCCCCGAUAUCUCAAGGUUGGAUUGCUGCAACAAAAAAAUUAAAAAUUUCAAGCAUUGGUUCCACUUCUGAUAGCAGCAACUGGGAGGAGGACUGCACUAUCAGAUGCCCAGAUGAUGUACCAUUGGAUAACCCUGUGUAUGCCCAAAUGCUACUACCUAAUCUGCAGGAGCGUGGUGAUGAUACCAAGCCAAACCUCAAGAGAACUUGUCUAGGCUAUCCUGCUCUUAGCUUGCAUGACAGUGAUGUUGUUUACCUUAUGCACAUGCCUGAUACCCUUGGGGAUAAGGCUUGUGUUAUUGCUCUUGAUAUGAGGAACAAGGCUGUAAAAGGCGUGGCUAAUUUUGGCGGCUCUGGAAGACCCCUGGGUCAUUGUUUCACCUACUUUCCCAGUGGGAUCUCCAAGCAUCUGGGCAUUUUCUCAUCAACCAGGUAAUUUCGUUAAGAGCUUUCAUAUCCUUUCGUAGCAAAAUGAUUUACAAACUGAAGUAUCAGAGGUAAACCAACUUGUACUGGCAGCAGAGAGUACUUUGGGUACUUGUACUGAGUGGAUGUAGAUUUGUUACAUCUAUGCUUUUAUUAUGCUGUGCAAGUUAAUAUCACAAAAGAAUGUGUUCCAUCUUUCAUUACAAUUCUGGUUUUCAUUAUUUAUUAUUUCAUUUGAUCAUGUGCAGCUACCAGCUAGUAUUCUUUAGAUCUACCUGAUUUGUUGUUUCAAAAUAACUACUGUAUUUGUUUGAGGACGGUGAACAUUGUGCCUGCAUUUAUCUCGCUAGCAUUUACUUUUCUGUCCAUAAAUUCAGCACUUACUGCUUCCCUGUCACCACAUUUAAAUUCCGUGGUUUCUGUUUGAUUAGAUGUAUAAAAAAGGCUUCAUUCAACAGACAAAAUAACAAAAGUAAAGACAGUGUCCAGCUUAACUUCACCGCAUUGUUCCCUAACCAAAGUUUCUGCUUGCUUAUGGUGUGUUGCACAUGAAUGAUUUCAUUAGUGCGCCAUGUGCUGUAUCUUGCACACCAUGUGGUGUAACUAACCCCUAUUAAAAAUAAUUCCACAGCCAUUGUUCAAACGGUGCAAAUGUGCACCAAGGAAAUAAAAUAAUCCUAUAGUUGGCUUAUUUGAGGGGAAAAUAUUGCACACCAUUGGUAGGCUAUCUCAUACCCAGGAUUCAGCUUUCAUGCAUUGCGUCUUUCGUGCCAUACUAUUUCCUGGGCCAUUGUCAGAACGAUAAGAUGCACUAUCUGCACGAAUUAAGCAAUGUUUUCUUUUGUUGUGCGCAGCUUUUGGUAGAUAAUCUUGCUUUUGUAUUAAAUGUUUAUUUCUUUUGUGGGAACCGAAAAGUUUCCAUCGCACACAAAAUAAGCAAAGUGUAAGCCUAACCCAGCUGGUUUUCGCUGGACAAAAUGGGCAAUCCCUAUGGUUGGCUUAUUUGAGGGGAAAUGUUGCAGUGGCUCCAUGGCUCCUGUAAAAAUGGCAGUACAUUUAGGUCCCUGUACCUCAUAUUAGUUGUAAUUCUAGUUUUGUUCAAAGACAAACCUUUCUUUCUAUCUGUAACUACCGAUUUCUAGAAAUGCGCAUAGUUUAGUGUAACUCCAUUUUUCACCCCCUAGUUUAACAAUUGGCCCAUUUAGCAGAAAUUCUUCCCACUUGCCCCAUUUAGUAAAAGUUGUGCCAGCUUUCACCUCCUUUUAAACAUUACCCAUCUACUACCCCUAUAAAAGAAAGAAAGAGGCAGAUCCAAAUAAUCUCAGCCGCCUAAUCACACGAUCUAAUGGUUCACAAUCUCUCUGUGUUUAACGCUAGCAAGCCACUAACCCGUCGACUGAUAGUAGAUGCCUCUUCGUUAAAGAAAACUACUCCGCACGAACGAACCACGAUCUCUAUCCUGCUUCUCCUGUGUAACCUCCGCCCUCUCCUCCUGUGCACGGUGCGCCGCCCGCUCCUUGCCCAGCGGAUGCGCCGGCACGGGUUGCUGCCGCCGCUCUAAUCGCCCGUCGCUGCCCGCUCCAGUCGGCCUCUGCCGCCGCCCGCUCCUUCUGUGUUGCCCAGUGGACGCGCCAGCACGGGCUACCACCGCCACUCGCCGAUCCUCCACUCCGCCGCCGCUCAAAUUGCCCGUCACCCCCCGCUCCAGUCGGCCUCUGCCGCCGACCCUCCGCUCCUCCGCCGUCGCCGCUGAACUCUGCUUCCGUCGCGGCUGACUCUGAUCCCCCACUUCGACGGUGGCCACCUAUACGGAGAUAUUUGCCAGUGGCGAUCUACAACCGGCCAGCCGUAUCACGGUUCAUGUUUUUGUUGGUUCGGAGUGCCCUUUCCACUGGAAUUUAUUGUGAUGAAUCGAUCUGGCCAUAUCCUGACUGAACAUAAAAAGUCUGAUGUAUCAAACUGGCCACAUCCUUUUACACUUAUUGAUUGAUAUAAGUAAUCUUCUUUGCAAUUUGCUGUACAAAUCAAUCUAGCUGAGUUUUGUAGUUGAUCCCAUUAAGUGUAAUAUUAAUCUUAGAAGGUCUUUGACUAAUUUUAGAGUUGAGUUUAAGAUCCCUAAGAGGUUUCCAACAGCAAACAGAUUUAGGUGCUGUAGUGAUUGGUCAAUGUUGCUAUGUCAGAAGUGCUUUCGGUUAUAGCAACAUGCACGUACCAGUGGUUGGAAACAGGUAUAUGGAUUGAUUUUUGGGAGAUUUGCAUGCAUGAAGAACCUUGCUACAUAAGCUUUCGGCCAUGACACACAUAUAUAUUCUGACAAAUUUCUUCUCCGUUGAACUAUUUAUGUCCUCUUGCAGAUGGUAAUCAUCUUAACUAUGAGCAAGUAGGUCGGAACUAUGAGCAAGUAGGUCACGUUUAAGAUCUCAAGGAUUCAGUGAUGUUGGAUCUAAUAGUUGGACUUCACCGCCUUCUCAAUUUAUAUAGGUGAGCACUGUUGCUUGCUGACUCACACAGCAGGAAUUAGGCGGGUUGUGGCGAACGAGGAACCAAGAGGGGCGGAAACUGUAGCUAUACAACUGCGGAAUUGAUCAAUACGAGCAUGCUUUGUGUAGCCAGGGAGAGCGCCGAGGGUGCUGGUCUGUGGCACCAGAAGAGGUGAACUCUCAACGAGAUACUAAUCAAUGGUGAAGUAUUUAGAUCAGUUCUACAACCAACUCAUGUGCUUAUAACUGUAGCUUUUGUUCAAACCUCAGUUGUAGGUAAGCUACAUUGCCAAGUGCAAAUCCUCAUCUUACUACAGUUUUCAACUUUUCAUUGAUUUUCUAUUUUGGAUUGUAUUUCCAUUUUGGGCCCCAUUUUUGACUGUAGCUUUUGUUCUGACCCCACUUGUACGCAAUGUAAUUUGCAGCCAUGAUGCUACAUUGCCAAUAUUUUAGAAAACUGUAAUUUGCUGCCAUGAUGUUACGCACGUGCAGGUCUAUGGUAGUGGUACGAAUUUGGGGGUACAUCUCCUCGCACUCAGGUGGAAAAAAUUCCUCGCCCUCAAGUCCAACUAAUUCAGGACCUGCAUCUCUGAUAUACCGUGGUUGGUUCCUUCCUCGAUGCCUUCUCUCUUGACAAUCGAUGAAAUACACAACUAGCUUGCACAUAUUUAAGAAGCACGUACAGUUUCAUUGUGUAAAAAAUAGUAGCAGGUGGGUAUUUUAGCAGUUCAGCUAUCUGAAAGAGAAAAUGAGUUGCUUCAGCAGAAAACCGAGGUCAUGACAUUAGCCACUUCACUGAAACCGGUCAGUUCAUCACUUCAUCUUUGUUCGUUGGUAAGAUCUGUAUUCUGUUGACCUUUGUAAACACAUUUUAGUAUCAUUAUCCAUUCAGUGUUCUGUUUACAGUGUACUAUUAAAUGCCAUUUUCCAUGUGUAUUUUUGUUGAUUGCUGUUGGAUUUGGAGGCAAACUAAUUUCCUCCUAAAGUAUGAAUUAUCUGCCAUGUGUAUGACUUUGAAAUCUUCAGUUUGAAAUUAUGAAAGUUUGUUCCGCUCUUACAUUAAGCAAGUGUCUAGAGGAAGUUUUGCUUUUGUUUAGGCUCGAGAAACAAACUAUCACGCAGUAUUGUGAAUUUGAAAUGGUGCUCUUCUCUUCCAAAAAUGCAUAGCAAAAUUUCAGGGACCUGCAGAUAGUUUCUUGAGUAACAAAAUUUAGGAGGCCUGACUAAUUUUAUUAUGAUAGUUCAGACAUGCUGCCAAUGAAAUUCACCCUUUACAGAAAACAGCAAGUUGUUUACUCAUGUGUUGUUCUGUUAUUAGACUGUAGGGAUAAGUUACCUUUUAGUUUUUACUACACCAAGGUUAAAGCUUUGUUUUCUUUUCAUAGCUGCGCCAUUUUCUUCUACAAUUUACAGAUAUUCUUUUUUUUUUGAGAGUACGCCAAAGGCAUACUUUUAUAGAAGAGAGAAAAUACAAUGUACAAGAAGCCUCGAAAUGGAUGCGAACAUCCACUCUCGACCACACCCCAGUACAACCAAAGCAGGUGUACUCUAAACACCCCAUUACAGAUAAUUAUUUACAGAUGUUCUCAUAGAUUUGGGAUGUAACAAUGGUUAACCUGCUCUUCAUGUUUUUUGAUAAUUGCUUUGACCAUCUGUUAAUUAGGCAUUACUAUGUAUCCGGCUUUUUCUAAGAUAUCUUUUAUGCCAUCAUGGCACUGAACCAUGAGUGAAGCAAUGAUGUAAACAACUCUGGGGUAUAACCAUUUGGCUGCUGGACUAAACAUUACAUAUUUAGUAACUAUUUCAAAACACAAAAUUUCAUGAUGAAAAAAUCAGCUUGUCCAUUUUCUUUUAUGGCUUGACUCUGUUCAAUCUUACAGAGAAAGGGACUGUUUUCUUCUUUUGUGACAUGACAGGAAGCAAGGUCAUGUGUAAGACGGAGGAGGAAACUGAUUUGGCUCUUCAUCACGUUGAGACUGUUGCAGCCAUGGGUGAUGUGUCAAUUUCUAUGAUGGGACAAAGGGUAGAAUCAGGAUGAUAUGGCUAAGAAAAUAGUAGCAAAUAAGUGACUACUAGGGUGUCCGUACUAGCAACAUAAGUUACAUAAAUUUAUUGAUCUUGAACUAAUUUGCACAUUCUCUAUUUAUCCGUAAUUUAGUUUUGCUUCCAUCCGAAAAACAUUAUAAAUCAGUAAUAAAGAUAUGUACGGAUGAAAAACUAUGUAAAUAUUAGACAACUAUUUAUUAACAAUUAUUUGAUGUCGA